AUGCAUGAUUUUCCUAUCAAAAACAAAGACUUUCACAAGGGUUCAAGAACAAACAUCAGAUUCAUGUUCUCUCCAAGAAUAUUCUCUCUUCAAAACAUCAGACUCAAAUCUAUUGGUAUAUCAUACUCAUAUCGGAAUGAUAGAAGACAGAUAAAGAAGAAUAUAUGGGGUCACAUGACUGAGCAGCUGACCAUAUAUGCAUAUAUGAAGCUGCUGCUGCUGCUGCUAAGUCGCUUCAGUCGUGUCUGACUCUGUGCGACCCCCAUAGAUGGCAGCCUACUAGGCUCCUCUGUCCCUGGGAUUCUUCAGGCAAGAACACUGGAGUGGGUUGCCAUUUCCUUCUCCAAUGCAUGAAAGUGAAAAGUGAAAGUGCAGUUGCUCAGUCCUGCCCGACUCUUAGCAACCUCAUGGACUGCAGCCUACCAGGUUCCUCCGUCCGUGGGAUUUGCCAGGCAAGAGUACUGGAGCGGGUGCCAUUGCCUUCUCCUAUAUGGAGCUAUUGAUAGCUAAAAAAGCAACAACAAAUAACAGCCCGAUCACACUUGAAUCUCUCUAAAUAGAAUCUCCAUAGUAGCUAUGGUGCUAAGCUUAGCCUCAACCUGACUCUGCCUCUCCAUCCUGCAAAGGGAAGAAUCUGUUGGUUUCAGAGUUAAAGAAGGAAUCAAGCAAUAUACUCCAGGGGUCCUUUUGUUAGGGAAGUGAAGUUGCUCAGUAGUGUCCGACUCUUUGUGACCCCAUGGACUGUAGCCCACUGGGCUCCUCCAUCCAUGGAAUUUUCCAGGCAAGAGUACUGGAGUGGGUUGCCAUUUCCUUCUCCAGGGGAUCUUUCUGACCCAGGGAUCAAAUCUGGGUCUCCCUCACUGCAGGCAGAUGCUUUACCAUCUGAGCCACCAGAGAAUCCAUUGGCCAAAAAUCUCCAUAAGACUACCUUCUAAGUGUUAUUUAAUAGUUUAAGUAUUUCUUCUUCAAAAACAUAUCCCUCCCUCCCUCUCUCUCUCACUCUCAUAUGAGGUUUUGUUUCACCAUAAGUGUAUUUCCCAGAGAGUUAUGAAUUACUUAUAUUUUUAAAAACUUAACUGCAUACUUUUGUGAAAAGGACUCUGACUGCCUUUGCAUGACAUUAACAAAACCCCCCAAAGUUAUGACCACCUUUCAUAAAAAUGAAAAUGCAGGACCUUUUGCUCCGAAAUUAUUAAGAAUUCGAAGAUGGUGACAGUGGAACAUUAAACCAAGCCCUGGGCCCCUCCAC
Molecule: long non-coding RNA, 1249 nt
Filed under: Bos indicus x Bos taurus (hybrid cattle)
Lineage: Eukaryota; Metazoa; Chordata; Mammalia; Artiodactyla; Bovidae
Description: lncRNA (ENSBIXG00005001028.1)
Source: RNAcentral